Molecule: small nuclear RNA, 80 nt
Filed under: Salmo salar (Atlantic salmon)
Lineage: Eukaryota; Metazoa; Chordata; Actinopteri; Salmoniformes; Salmonidae
Source: RNAcentral
GUGCUUGCUUUGGCAGCACAUAUACUAAAAUUGGAUCGAUACAGAGAAGAUUAGCAUGGCCCCUGCGAAAGGAUGACACG